Molecule: ribosomal RNA, 1528 nt
Filed under: Lactococcus lactis subsp. lactis
Lineage: Bacteria; Bacillati; Bacillota; Bacilli; Lactobacillales; Streptococcaceae
Description: bacterial SSU rRNA
Rfam family: Bacterial small subunit ribosomal RNA
Source: RNAcentral
CACGGAUCCAGACUUUGAUCCUGGCUCAGGACGAACGCUGGCGGCGUGCCUAAUACAUGCAAGUUGAGCGCUGAAGGUUGGUACUUGUACCAACUGGAUGAGCAGCGAACGGGUGAGUAACGCGUGGGGAAUCUGCCUUUGAGCGGGGGACAACAUUUGGAAACGAAUGCUAAUACCGCAUAAAAACUUUAAACACAAGUUUUAAGUUUGAAAGAUGCAAUUGCAUCACUCAAAGAUGAUCCCGCGUUGUAUUAGCUAGUUGGUGAGGUAAAGGCUCACCAAGGCGAUGAUACAUAGCCGACCUGAGAGGGUGAUCGGCCACAUUGGGACUGAGACACGGCCCAAACUCCUACGGGAGGCAGCAGUAGGGAAUCUUCGGCAAUGGACGAAAGUCUGACCGAGCAACGCCGCGUGAGUGAAGAAGGUUUUCGGAUCGUAAAACUCUGUUGGUAGAGAAGAACGUUGGUGAGAGUGGAAAGCUCAUCAAGUGACGGUAACUACCCAGAAAGGGACGGCUAACUACGUGCCAGCAGCCGCGGUAAUACGUAGGUCCCGAGCGUUGUCCGGAUUUAUUGGGCGUAAAGCGAGCGCAGGUGGUUUAUUAAGUCUGGUGUAAAAGGCAGUGGCUCAACCAUUGUAUGCAUUGGAAACUGGUAGACUUGAGUGCAGGAGAGGAGAGUGGAAUUCCAUGUGUAGCGGUGAAAUGCGUAGAUAUAUGGAGGAACACCGGUGGCGAAAGCGGCUCUCUGGCCUGUAACUGACACUGAGGCUCGAAAGCGUGGGGAGCAAACAGGAUUAGAUACCCUGGUAGUCCACGCCGUAAACGAUGAGUGCUAGAUGUAGGGAGCUAUAAGUUCUCUGUAUCGCAGCUAACGCAAUAAGCACUCCGCCUGGGGAGUACGACCGCAAGGUUGAAACUCAAAGGAAUUGACGGGGGCCCGCACAAGCGGUGGAGCAUGUGGUUUAAUUCGAAGCAACGCGAAGAACCUUACCAGGUCUUGACAUACUCGUGCUAUUCCUAGAGAUAGGAGGUUCCUUCGGGACACGGGAUACAGGUGGUGCAUGGUUGUCGUCAGCUCGUGUCGUGAGAUGUUGGGUUAAGUCCCGCAGCGAGCGCAACCCCUAUUGUUAGUUGCCAUCAUUAAGUUGGGCACUCUAACGAGACUGCCGGUGAUAAACCGGAGGAAGGUGGGGAUGACGUCAAAUCAUCAUGCCCCUUAUGACCUGGGCUACACACGUGCUACAAUGGAUGGUACAACGAGUCGCGAGACAGUGAUGUUUAGCUAAUCUCUUAAAACCAUUCUCAGUUCGGAUUGUAGGCUGCAACUCGCCUACAUGAAGUCGGAAUCGCUAGUAAUCGCGGAUCAGCACGCCGCGGUGAAUACGUUCCCGGGCCUUGUACACACCGCCCGUCACACCACGGGAGUUGGGAGUACCCGAAGUAGGUUGCCUAACCGCAAGGAGGGCGCUUCCUAAGGUAAGACCGAUGACUGGGGUGAAGUCGUAACAAGCUAACCGUAAGCUUCAC